This 77-nucleotide transfer RNA is filed under the name Lentisphaerota bacterium. Its description in RNAcentral is "Lentisphaerae bacterium (freshwater metagenome) tRNA-Asp". It matches the Rfam family "tRNA". From Rfam's summary of the family: Transfer RNA (tRNA) molecules are approximately 80 nucleotides in length. The record is from RNAcentral. Lineage: Bacteria; Pseudomonadati; Lentisphaerota.
GGGGGCGUGGCGCAAUUGGUUAGCGUACCGGACUGUCGAUCCGGAAGUUGCGGGUUCGAGCCCCGUCGCUCCCGCCA